Non-coding RNA from Phthorimaea operculella (potato tuberworm), 68 nucleotides. The record is from the annotation of a GenBank genome assembly. Lineage: Eukaryota; Metazoa; Arthropoda; Insecta; Lepidoptera; Gelechiidae.
ACAUCGAUAGCUCAGUGGCAGAGCGGUGGGCGUUUUACGCGGCCCGGGUUCGAUUCCCGGUCGAUGUA